GGAGUGGAGGCCCUUCUCGUGGAGAAGCUGGACGGCGCUAUGUGAGUCGUUGCCUCUCCUGCAGACGGCGUACAAGUGAGGCUGUUUAUCCAAGUCGUUGCCGGAGGAAUCCUUCAUUUUUGUCAGUGAGGUCUUGAGCAUAGGCAUCUUCUCCUCCAGAACAGCGAGCGGUAUGUUCAGAAAGUGAAACCAUUUGGGAGUUAUGAGCAGGCCGUAUGUCCAGCUGCAGAUGAGGUUCAGGCUCGGUACUGCCUGCGUUAUGUCAGAUGAAAAGGUGAAAUAUCCUAACUUCUCAACAUGGAGCACUUGGUGAUGCCACCACGCCGCCACCGCCUAAAACGGUACAGUUGCCCUCUUUCAUUUUUCCCAUCAGCGACAUGAAUCUCAUCACUGCAAUGUUGCCUAACUGACCUCUCAUCCCUUCCGCGUGUUAUAAUGGUAUGAUUAUUAUUGUUCGAUAGAUGUAUUCGUAGCUUCUGCACAAUCACAUUGGCAAUGCGAUUCCUCGGGGGCAGGGCCAGAAGGUGUGGUGGUGGGACAGACAACAGAAGAGGAAGCUCAUCUUCCAAGCCUAGAGGCAAGGUGUUCAACUGGUUUCCUCAUGAUAUGCAGAGUGACCACCCAUCUUUGAAGCCUAAAGGAAAUCAUUCAAGUGGCCACCCAGGAGCUAUCUCUGCGAGUCUCUUUGUUUUCCAAUAUGUUAGGUUACAGUGAUUUAUGAGUAUAUCUCUAACAUGACAUUUCAAAAGAUGAAGAUGAAAUGGGGGAGUUUGAUUGUUGUUUGGUGCGUCUGUUUCUCCAUGUUGGUAUGCACGUGACAUUGAGAGAUUCAAAGAUGUGGCUUAGAAGAAAUGAGAGCAAGAUUGUUUUGGAGAAAUUGAGAGGAA
Lolium rigidum is the source of this 887-nucleotide long non-coding RNA. RefSeq lists it as uncharacterized. Lineage: Eukaryota; Viridiplantae; Streptophyta; Magnoliopsida; Poales; Poaceae. The record is from RefSeq and is a predicted model, not a curated record. The transcript has 2 exons.